AAUGAACGCUGGCGGCGUGCCUAACACAUGCAAGUCGAGCGAGAAAGUCCCCUUCGGGGGGCGAGUAAAGCGGCGCACGGGUGAGUAACGCGUGGGUAACCUGCCCUUGAGUGGGGGAUAACCAGCCGAAAGGCUGACUAAUCCCGCAUACGACCGGCAGACACAAGUCUGUCGGGGAAAGAUGGCCUCUGCUUGCAAGCUAUCGCUCUUGGAUGGGCCCGCGUUGGAUUAGCUAGUUGGUGGGGUAACGGCCUACCAAGGCUGCGAUCCAUAGCUGGUUUGAGAGGACGACCAGCCACACUGGAACUGAGACACGGUCCAGACUCCUACGGGAGGCAGCAGUGAGGAAUAUUGCGCAAUGGGGGAAACCCUGACGCAGCGACGCCGUGUGAGCGAUGAAGGCCUUCGGGUCGUAAAGCUCUGUCAGAGGAAGAAGGGUACGGCGGGAAUAAUACCCGCCGACAUUGACGGUACCUCGGAGGAAGCACCGGCUAACUCCGUGCC
RNAcentral lists this ribosomal RNA (504 nucleotides) under uncultured bacterium. RNAcentral's name for it is "bacterial SSU rRNA". It matches the Rfam family "Bacterial small subunit ribosomal RNA", at positions 29 to 509 of the family's 1533-position model. The record is from RNAcentral.